Molecule: ribosomal RNA, 702 nt
Filed under: uncultured bacterium
Lineage: Bacteria
Description: bacterial SSU rRNA
Rfam family: Bacterial small subunit ribosomal RNA
Source: RNAcentral
AACGAACGCUGGCGGCAGGCUUAACACAUGCAAGUCGAGCGAAGACUUCGGUCUUAGCGGCGGACGGGUGAGUAACGCGUGGGAAUAUGCCCUUUGCUACGGAAUAGUCCUGGGAAACUGGGGGUAAUACCGUAUGUGCCCUUCGGGGGAAAGAUUUAUCGGCAAAGGAUUAGCCCGCGUUGGAUUAGGUAGUUGGUGGGGUAAUGGCCUACCAAGCCGACGAUCCAUAGCUGGUUUGAGAGGAUGAUCAGCCACACUGGGACUGAGACACGGCCCAGACUCCUACGGGAGGCAGCAGUGGGGAAUCUUAGACAAUGGGGGCAACCCUGAUCUAGCCAUGCCGCGUGAGUGAUGAAGGCCUUAGGGUUGUAAAGCUCUUUCAGCUGGGAAGAUAUUGACGGUACCAGCAGAAGAAGCCCCGGCUAACUCCGUGCCAGCAGCCGCGGUAAUACGGAGGGGGCUAGCGUUGUUCGGAAUUACUGGGCGUAAAGCGCACGUAGGCGGACCAGCAAGUUAGGGGUGAAAUCCCGGGGCUCAACCUCGGAACUGCCUUUAAAACUGUUGGUCUGGAGUUCGAGAGAGGUGAGUGGAAUACCGAGUGUAGAGGUGAAAUUCGUAGAUAUUCGGUGGAACACCAGUGGCGAAGGCGGCUCACUGGCUCGAUACUGACGCUGAGGUGCGAAAGCGUGGGGAGCAAACAGG